This 950-nucleotide long non-coding RNA is filed under the name Salmo salar (Atlantic salmon). RNAcentral describes it as "lncRNA (ENSSSAG00000071250.2)". The record is from RNAcentral. Lineage: Eukaryota; Metazoa; Chordata; Actinopteri; Salmoniformes; Salmonidae.
CCAAUAGUAGCUAUGUCACAGUAUCUAACGAAGGUGGUGCUCCUCCUCGGUCGGGCGGCGCUCGUUGUCACCGGCCUAUUUGCUGCCACCGAUCGUUGUUUCUGUGUCUUUUGGUUUUGUCUGUCUAUGCCGCACCUGUUUUGUGUCUGUCAUUAGUGGGGGGUUAUUUGGUGUGUAUUUUCAGUUGGGUUUCUCGUGCGGGAUUGUUUGUCUACUCUAGACAGUUGCGAGUGUAGCUGUUUUUUUUAGCUGGUUAUUGUCCAUUGUAUUGCCGGGCUGCGCCCGUGCGCUUUUUCCAGAGUGUUUAUUUUUGGGAAUGUGUUUUCCCCUGGCGGACUUCGUCACGCGCCCUGUGCCCUAUGGCUAUUGCGUUUUGCAUUUAUUAUUAAAACACUGUUGCUCCGGCCCUCUGUCUCCUGCUCCUGAUUCCACAUCUCCACUGGUCCUAGACAGCCGUGACAAGCUAGCCUGCUUUGGCCUGCUAAGGCCACAAUAGCCCAAGAAUGCACUGUUAAGGAGUGUAGAGUCCCACUGAACACUCAUCAUCAUCUCAACCAGUCUUGAAAACACAAACACAUUCUUUACUCUUAUGGCAAAUUAGUGGCAAUUGCAGUCAUCGACUAGAAGGACCCGACAGUGGAAAGCGGCAGUGUGUCCUGACUCCUGUGUGAUCAUUAACACAUAGAUGGCAUCGCCAUGGACCCCUUGCUUUCCUUCCUGCAUGCUUAUUUACUUCCUGUUAUAGUAUUAAUGGUGUUGUGUGGCAAGGCCUUAUUAUUGUAGUAAGCAGGAACCAACACUAAUCCAAUAUAAUGAGCCAGUGCACUAAUAUGAAUCUGUAAGAGAUGCAAUUAUUGGAAUGGGGGUGGGUAUCACAAGUAGAUUUUACAAAUAAGCCGUUUUCUGCACAACAUUACCAAGAAUAAAAUUCUCCCAAGAAUACUCUAGAA